Molecule: ribosomal RNA, 450 nt
Filed under: uncultured Glomeromycotina
Lineage: Eukaryota; Fungi; Glomeromycota
Description: SSU rRNA
Rfam family: Eukaryotic small subunit ribosomal RNA
Source: RNAcentral
AGCAGCCGCGGUAAUUCCAGCUCCAAUAGCGUAUAUUAAAGUUGUUGCAGUUAAGAAGCUCGUAGUUGAAUUUCGGGAUCAAUUUAUUGGUCGUGCAAUAGUACGUACUGGUAUUAUUGGUUCCUACCUUCUGAUGAACCAUGAUGUCAUUAAUUUGGUGUUAUGGGGAAUCAGGACUGUUACUUUGAAAAAUUAGAGUGUUUAAAGCAGGCUCACGCUUGAAUACAUUAGCAUGGAAUAAUGAAAUAGGACGUUUGAUUCUAUUUUGUUGGUUUCUAGGAUCGACGUAAUGAUUAAUAGGGAUAGUUGGGGGCAUUAGUAUUCAAUUGUCAGAGGUGAAAUUCUUGGAUUUAUUGAAGACUAACUACUGCGAAAGCAUUUGCCAAGGAUGUUUUCAUUAAUCAAGAACGAAAGUUAGGGAUCGAAGACGAUCAGAUACCGUCGUAGUCU